RNAcentral lists this ribosomal RNA (1128 nucleotides) under uncultured Alternaria. RNAcentral describes it as "eukaryotic LSU rRNA". The stretch from base 496 to 1128 matches the Rfam family "Eukaryotic large subunit ribosomal RNA", at positions 1 to 649 of the family's 3401-position model. The record is from RNAcentral. Lineage: Eukaryota; Fungi; Ascomycota; Dothideomycetes; Pleosporales; Pleosporaceae.
AGGGAUCAUUACACAAAUAUGAAGGCGGGCUGGAACCUCUCGGGGUUACAGCCUUGCUGAAUUAUUCACCCUUGUCUUUUGCGUACUUCUUGUUUCCUUGGUGGGUUCGCCCACCACUAGGACAAACAUAAACCUUUUGUAAUUGCAAUCAGCGUCAGUAACAAAUUAAUAAUUACAACUUUCAACAACGGAUCUCUUGGUUCUGGCAUCGAUGAAGAACGCAGCGAAAUGCGAUAAGUAGUGUGAAUUGCAGAAUUCAGUGAAUCAUCGAAUCUUUGAACGCACAUUGCGCCCUUUGGUAUUCCAAAGGGCAUGCCUGUUCGAGCGUCAUUUGUACCCUCAAGCUUUGCUUGGUGUUGGGCGUCUUGUCUCUAGCUUUGCUGGAGACUCGCCUUAAAGUAAUUGGCAGCCGGCCUACUGGUUUCGGAGCGCAGCACAAGUCGCACUCUCUAUCAGCAAAGGUCUAGCAUCCAUUAAGCCUUUUUUUUCAACUUUUGACCUCGGAUCAGGUAGGGAUACCCGCUGAACUUAAGCAUAUCAAUAGGCGGAGGAAAAGAAACCAACAGGGAUUGCCCUAGUAACGGCGAGUGAAGCGGCAACAGCUCAAAUUUGAAAUCUGGCUCUUUUAGAGUCCGAGUUGUAAUUUGCAGAGGGCGCUUUGGCUUUGGCAGCGGUCCAAGUUCCUUGGAACAGGACGUCACAGAGGGUGAGAAUCCCGUACGUGGUCGCUGGCUAUUGCCGUGUAAAGCCCCUUCGACGAGUCGAGUUGUUUGGGAAUGCAGCUCUAAAUGGGAGGUACAUUUCUUCUAAAGCUAAAUAUUGGCCAGAGACCGAUAGCGCACAAGUAGAGUGAUCGAAAGAUGAAAAGCACUUUGGAAAGAGAGUCAAACAGCACGUGAAAUUGUUGAAAGGGAAGCGCUUGCAGCCAGACUUGCUUACAGUUGCUCAUCCGGGUUUCUACCCGGUGCACUCUUCUGCAGGCAGGCCAGCAUCAGUUUGGGCGGUAGGAUAAAGGUCUCUGUCACGUACCUCCUUUCGGGGAGGCCUUAUAGGGGAGACGACAUACUACCAGCCUGGACUGAGGUCCGCGCAUCUGCUAGGAUGCUGGCGUAAUGGCUGUAAGCGGCC